CAGUUAAGUAGUUUAAAGGAAUAUAAGCUUUGGGUGUUUAUGGAUCUCUAUUUGAUAGAGACUUACUGA
RNAcentral lists this transfer RNA (69 nucleotides) under Schmidtea mediterranea. RNAcentral describes it as "tRNA-Pro". The record is from RNAcentral. Lineage: Eukaryota; Metazoa; Platyhelminthes; Tricladida; Dugesiidae.